CCCAGGCCAGGAUAGCCCAUUAACUCUUGGAGUCUAUGCCGCAUGUGGGCCUGAGAGCGUGAAAAAUACUGUUUAAUAGAGUUGCUUAAAGCACGUUUUCCAGAGAACACAGGCAGCUGAGCAAAAUCGUUAAGAAGUUGGAGUCAAGCAGGUGCAAGUUCCAGUGCAGGCUCCGCGAGCACACCUGGUACCCUCCUGGAGCCACUCUGCAGGGUGGGACCCCGACACAGUGUAGGAGAAAGCUGCCAGCACUGGGGCUGGGAAAAAAAGGCACAUACGGUGAGAUGGAAAAAAAAAAAGGUGCUGGCUAAGUCGCAGGGUGGCUGGGAGCCACAUCUCACCAUGAGGACACUGCCACCUGCCCUGUGGGCCCAGGGUCUCCAUCUCUUGCAGUUACUCUGGCUUCAGUGUCCCAGGGACUCUGGGCAGAUGCGUGUGAUUGGGGAGGCUGGGUCAUGUCCCUCCCAGUGCUGCAAGGAAGGCUGAGGAAGCGAGUCCCUGGCAUCUUUAUCUGGUGUGGGAGGGGCCAGCCUCCCACCGAGACACAUGGGGGAGAAAUUCUGCCAAACAUGGGAAGGUGGUGGAGAGGUGGUUCAGAGUGACAAGUGCACGGAGGUAACGCCCACUUCAGAGACAGAAAGAGCCUGGCACGUGGGGGAUGUGCGAGAAAGGCUGGCGCUCGCGGUCUUCCUCCUGUGGGAGCUGAAGGAAGAAGCAAGUCACAAAGGUGUCUCCCCUGGAACAAGACAACAGGAGCAGCGGGUCAGCCAUCUGACGGACACUCAGCCUCGCCUUGGCUUCAGACAUCAGGGGCACAGACAUGUUUUGGAGAGAGGUGUCCAGGAUCCCAGAGCCGCCUGAGGACUUGCUGUCUGAAGCACCCGGGUCCUGGGAGCACUCGGCCCAGGGACGGCUGGCCUCCCUCUGCCUGGGUCAGCCCACCGGCUCAGGCACUGUGCCUUCUGGACAGCACCCCUGGCUCUUCCCACCCCGUGGGACCUGGACUUGCAUGAAAGAGUGGGAGAAGAGCCACGAGUUUGGUCCCUGGUCCCACAGCCACAGGCUGGUGGCUGCAGAAAGGAGACUGAGGCACUUCAGGGAGAUGCUCGACCCGAGUCUGGAAGCCCACAGAACUGCGAUGGAAGGAAAUGGAGGCACGGCUGCUUUCCGUGCUCUAAAUGAGCAAAUGUUUGGAACGAGGGUG
RNAcentral lists this long non-coding RNA (1204 nucleotides) under Equus caballus (horse). Its description in RNAcentral is "lncRNA (ENSECAG00000055064.1)". The record is from RNAcentral. Lineage: Eukaryota; Metazoa; Chordata; Mammalia; Perissodactyla; Equidae.